GUGCCUGCGCUGCUAUACAUGCAAGUCGAGCGCAGGAACCGUCUGAACCCUUCGGGGGGACGACGGCGGAAUGAGCGGCGGACGGGUGAGUAACACGUAAAGAACCUGCCCAUAGGUCUGGGAUAACCACGAGAAAUCGGGGCUAAUACCGGAUGUGUCAUCGGACCGCAUGGUCCGCUGAUGAAAGGCGCUUCGGCGUCGCCCAUGGAUGGCUUUGCGGUGCAUUAGCUAGUUGGUGGGGUAAUGGCCCACCAAGGCGACGAUGCAUAGCCGACCUGAGAGGGUGAUCGGCCACACUGGGACUGAGACACGGCCCAGACUCCUACGGGAGGCAGCAGUAGGGAAUCUUCCACAAUGGACGAAAGUCUGAUGGAGCAACGCCGCGUGAACGAUGAAGGCUUUCGGGUCGUAAAGUUCUGUUGUAAGGGAAGAACAAGUGCCGCAGGCAAUGGCGGCACCUUGACGGUACCUUGCGAGAAAGCCACGGCUAACUACGUGCCAGCAGCCGCGGUAAUACGUAGGUGGCAAGCGUUGUCCGGAAUUAUUGGGCGUAAAGCGCG
Molecule: ribosomal RNA, 560 nt
Filed under: Exiguobacterium aestuarii
Lineage: Bacteria; Bacillati; Bacillota; Bacilli; Caryophanales
Description: bacterial SSU rRNA
Rfam family: Bacterial small subunit ribosomal RNA
Source: RNAcentral